RNAcentral lists this ribosomal RNA (409 nucleotides) under uncultured bacterium. RNAcentral describes it as "bacterial SSU rRNA". It matches the Rfam family "Bacterial small subunit ribosomal RNA", at positions 29 to 429 of the family's 1533-position model. The record is from RNAcentral.
AACGAACGCUGGCGGCGCGCCUAAUACAUGCAAGUCGAGCGAGAAGACGUAGCAAUACGUUUGUAAAGCGGCGAACGGGUGAGGAAUACAUGGGUAACCUACCCUCGAGUGGGGAAUAACUAGCCGAAAGGUUAGCUAAUACCGCGUACGCUUCUUGGACUUCGGUUCAGGGAGGAAAGCGAUACCGUGGGUAUCGCGCUCUUGGAUGGGCUCAUGUCCUAUCAGCUUGNGGUGAGGUAACGGCUCACCAAGGCUUCGACGGGUAGCUGGUCUGAGAGGACGAUCAGCCACACUGGCACUGCGACACGGGCCAGACUCCUACGGGGGGCAGCAGUAAGGAAUAUUGCGCAAUGGGCGAAAGCCUGACGCAGCGACGCCGCGUGGGGGAUGAAGGUCUUCGGAUUGUAAA